This 239-nucleotide ribosomal RNA is filed under the name uncultured bacterium. Its description in RNAcentral is "partial 16S ribosomal RNA". It matches the Rfam family "Bacterial small subunit ribosomal RNA", at positions 524 to 764 of the family's 1533-position model. The record is from RNAcentral.
UACGUAGGGUGCAAGCGUUAAUCGGAAUUACUGGGCGUAAAGCGUGCGCAGGCGGUUCGCUAAGACAGAUGUGAAAUCCCCGGGCUAACCUGGGAGCUGCAUUCGAAACUGUCUUGCUAGAGUAUGGGAGAGGGAGGUGGAAUUUCAGGUGUAGCGGUGAAAUGCGUAGAUAUCUGAAGGAACAUCAGUGGCGAAAGCGACCUCCUGGACCAAUCUGACGCUCAGGUGCGAAAGCGUGG